CCUACGGGUGGUAGCAGUGAGGAAUAUUGGUCAAUGGGCGGGAGCCUGAACCAGCCAAGCCGCGUGAGGGCAGCAGGUACAGCGUAUCGUAAACCUCUUUUGUCAGGUAACACAGGCGGGGACUAGUCCCCGGAUGAGGGUACCUGAAGAAAAAGCAUCGGCUAACUCCGUGCCAGCAGCCGCGGUACUACGGAGGAUGCGAGCUUGAUCCGGUUUUAUUGGGUUUAAAGGGUGCGCAGGCGGCCUGUUAAGUCAGCGGUAAAAGCCCGGGGCUCAACCCCGGCGAGCCGUGGAAACUGGCGGGCUGGAGUUGGAGAGAAGUACGCGGAAGGCGCGGUGUAGCGGUGAAAUGCUUAGAUAUCGCGCAGAACCCCGAUUGCGAAGGCAGCGGACCGGCUCCACACUGACGCUGAGGCACGAAAGCGUGGGUAUCGAACAGGAUUAGAUACCCUAGUAGUC
RNAcentral lists this ribosomal RNA (459 nucleotides) under uncultured bacterium. RNAcentral's name for it is "partial 16S ribosomal RNA". It matches the Rfam family "Bacterial small subunit ribosomal RNA", at positions 338 to 795 of the family's 1533-position model. The record is from RNAcentral.